This 297-nucleotide ribosomal RNA is filed under the name uncultured bacterium. RNAcentral's name for it is "partial 16S ribosomal RNA". It matches the Rfam family "Bacterial small subunit ribosomal RNA", at positions 502 to 793 of the family's 1533-position model. The record is from RNAcentral.
UCCGUGCCAGCAGCCGCGGUAAUACGGAGGGUGCGAGCGUUAAUCGGAAUUACUGGGCGUAAAGCGCAUGCAGGUGGUUUGUUAAGUCAGAUGUGAAAGCCCCGGGGCUCAACCUCGGAACUGCAUUUGAAACUGGCAGACUAGAGUACUGUAGAGGGGGUAGAAUUUCAGGUGUAGCGGUGAAAUGCGUAGAGAUCUGAAGGAAUACCGGUGGCGAAGGCGGCCCCCUGGACAGAUACUGACACUCAGAUCGCGUAAAGCGUGGGGAGCUAAACCAGGAUUAGAUACCCUCGGUAG